RNAcentral lists this ribosomal RNA (660 nucleotides) under Chlorococcum oleofaciens. RNAcentral describes it as "LSU rRNA". It matches the Rfam family "Eukaryotic large subunit ribosomal RNA", at positions 437 to 1123 of the family's 3401-position model. Lineage: Eukaryota; Viridiplantae; Chlorophyta; Chlorophyceae; Chlamydomonadales; Chlorococcaceae. The record is from RNAcentral.
UGCGCCUAGGCUUAUGGGUCCUUAACGGGGCUCUGUAUGUGCUAGGUGCUGGCCAGCAUGGGUUAGGCUAGUGGGAUAAAAGCUGGGGUUGAUUCCCGGUCUAUGCCACUGGCUUGACCAAGGCGUGAAGACUGCCCUUGUCCUUCGGGAACUGCAGUCUCAAGAUGCUGGCUAAGGCUUUCAACCGACCCGUCUUGAAACUCGGACCAAGGAGUCUAACAUGUAUGCGACUUGGUGGGAGGAAAACCCAUGAAGCGUAAGGAAACUGACUGGUGGGAUGGCCUGUGCCUGCACCAUCGACCGACCAUGCGUUUCUGCAAAAGGUUUGAGUGCGAGCAUACCUGUUGGGACCCGAAAGAUGGUGAAACUAUGCCUGAGCAGGGUGAAGCCAGGUGAAAACCUGGUGGAGGCUCGUAGAUGUGCUGACGUGCAAAUCGCUUUUCGGACUUGGGUAUAGGGGCGAAAGACUAAUCGAACCAUCUAGUAGCUGGUUUCCUCCGAAGUUUCCCCCAGGAUAGCUGGAGCUUAUUCGGAGUACGGUCAGGUAAAGCGAAUGAUUAGAGGUUCGGGGGAUGUAACAUCCUUCCCCUAUUCUCAAACUUUAAAUAGACCGGACGUCCAGGUUGCUUGAUUGAACCUGUGGCAUUCUAUCCGAGCUCC